RNAcentral lists this transfer RNA (76 nucleotides) under Belgica antarctica. Its description in RNAcentral is "tRNA IU25_tRNA_124". The record is from RNAcentral. Lineage: Eukaryota; Metazoa; Arthropoda; Insecta; Diptera; Chironomidae.
GGCUCCGGUGAGAUUCGAACUCACGAUCUCCUGACAACUAGAUCAGGUGCUUUAGGCCAGCUAAGCUACGCAGUCA